CUGUGCUUAGCUAAACGCUAAAGAGGGAAAGUUGCGGAUUUUCAACCCUUUGGAAGCGAGUCAUCCAGUGGAGAUUUACCGGCGGGUAAACACGGACCUCCGGGUCGUAGAGAAGAGUGAUUUCAACACUGGCCAUUGAGCUUUCCACCUUGCUGCAAUGAUGGAGAGCUUCACUACCAAACCAACACAACAUCACUGUUAGGUGUGGACAGAGAUGCAACACAUCACACAACCUUUCAACCCACAGAGAGCUUGUUUUGUUAGAGAUGAAUGAAAAUGAUUUCAUUUUACGGAGUAUUGGAGCCGAAUCCCCCCCCCCCCCGAUCCCACUGAAGUUAAAGCGCCUCACUUCCUGCUCACAGAUGGACUACCCGAUAGUGAGAUGCUGCUUCUAUUUUGGAUGCUGUAUGUCUGCGUGUUAGCAUGUGUAUGUGUGCAUUAAAAUGAAAGACAAUCUCAUUUGGCUGUUAUUUGCAUUUUUUAACAUUAUGUUCUUUUGACGGGUGAAAUUGUGCCCAAUCAUUAAACCUAACUUGUGACUCGUGGCAAAUUAUUAAUUAUUUGAAUAAAUUCCUCAAAGCUUG
This is a long non-coding RNA of Sander lucioperca (pikeperch), 584 nucleotides long. RefSeq lists it as uncharacterized. Lineage: Eukaryota; Metazoa; Chordata; Actinopteri; Perciformes; Percidae. The transcript is spliced from 3 exons. The record is from RefSeq and is a predicted model, not a curated record.